UGAGACAGGUGCUGCAUGGCUGUCGUCAGCUCGUGUUGUGAAAUGUUGGUUAAGUCCCGCAACGAGCGCAACCCUUAUCCUUUGUUGCCAGCGGUCCGGCCGGGAACUCAAAGGAGACUGCCAGUGAUAAACUGGAGGAAGGUGGGAUGACGUCAAGUCAUCAUGGCCCUUACGACCAGGGCUACACACGUGCUACAAUGGCGCAUACAAAGAGAAGCGACCUCGCGAGAGCAAGCGGACCUCAUAAAGUGCGUCGUAGUCCGGAUUGGAGUCUGCAACCCAACUCCAUAAAGUCGGAAUCGCUAGUAAUCGUGGAUCAGAAUGCCACGGUGAAUACGUUCCCGGGCCUU
RNAcentral lists this ribosomal RNA (350 nucleotides) under uncultured Enterobacteriaceae bacterium. Its description in RNAcentral is "bacterial SSU rRNA". It matches the Rfam family "Bacterial small subunit ribosomal RNA", at positions 1030 to 1382 of the family's 1533-position model. Lineage: Bacteria; Pseudomonadati; Pseudomonadota; Gammaproteobacteria; Enterobacterales; Enterobacteriaceae. The record is from RNAcentral.